RNAcentral lists this ribosomal RNA (858 nucleotides) under Basidiodendron inconspicuum. RNAcentral's name for it is "partial large subunit ribosomal RNA". It matches the Rfam family "Eukaryotic large subunit ribosomal RNA", at positions 73 to 952 of the family's 3401-position model. Lineage: Eukaryota; Fungi; Basidiomycota; Agaricomycetes; Auriculariales; Exidiaceae. The record is from RNAcentral.
GAUUCCCCUAGUAACGGCGAGUGAAGCGGGAAGAGCUCAAAUUUGUAAUCUGGCGGUCUCGCGGCCGUCCGAGUUGUAGUCUAGAGAGGNGUUAUCCGCGACGGACCACGUACAAGUCCUUUGGGAUGCGGCGUCAUAGAGGGUGAGAAUCCCGUCCAUGACGUGGACUACCGUCGCUUUGCGUUACGCCUUCGAAGAGUCGAGUUGUUUGGGAAUGCAGCUCAAAACGGGUGGUAAAUUCCAUCUAAAGCUAAAUAUUGGCGAGAGACCGAUAGCGAACAAGUACCGUGAGGGAAAGAUGAAAAGAACUUUGGAAAGAGAGUUAAACAGUACGUGAAAUUGCUGAAAGGGAAACGCUUGAAGUCAGUCGCGUCUUCGAGGANUCAGCUCGACUUNUGUCGGGUGCAUUUCCUCCGGGGACGGGCCAGCGUCAGUUUCGGGCGUNGAAGAAUGGUGGGAGGAAUGUGGCAUCUUCGGGUGUGUUAUAGCCUCUNGUCGGACGCGACGCCUGGGACUGAGGACCGCUUUAUAGGAUGCUGGCGUAAUGGCUUUAAACGACCCGUCUUGAAACACGGACCAAGGAGUCUAACAUGCUCGCGAGUGUUCGGGUGGAAAACCCUUGCGCGUAAUGAAAGUGAAAAGUUGGGACCGCUCUCGCGGGCACCGACGCCCGACCCUGAAGUUCUCUGACGGGUUUGAGGUAGAGCGAGUAUGCUGGGACCCGAAAGAUGGUGAACUAUGCCUGAAUAGGGUGAAGCCAGAGGAAACUCUGGUGGAGGCUCGUAGCGAUUCUGACGUGCAAAUCGAUCGUCAAAUUUGGGUAUAGGGGCGAAAGACUAAUCGAACCAUCUAGUAGCU